Xiphophorus hellerii (green swordtail) is the source of this 9594-nucleotide long non-coding RNA. RefSeq lists it as uncharacterized. The transcript is spliced from 4 exons. Lineage: Eukaryota; Metazoa; Chordata; Actinopteri; Cyprinodontiformes; Poeciliidae. The record is from RefSeq and is a predicted model, not a curated record.
AGUGCUGCAGCCAUGUAGGUACCACAUAUAAAGGUUUGCUCUGUCUGCAGCAAGCCUCUGCACACUGAAAGGAGGAAACUGGAGUUAAAGACAACAAAAUGACCAGUGGCUGGACAUCUCCUUGAGCGCAUUUUGUAACAAUCAGGUGCAAAGAAGUUCUAUCAUCUGGACAGAUCACACCAGCAGACAUUGUCAUGAAACAGACGGAGAUAGACUGAAGCACUAUCUUCAGAUCAGGAAAGUAUGCAAUCAAGCAUUGCUUUGCAAGCUUCUAAACAUUGCAAACAUGAUCUUUUUCUAAAAACUUGACCUAAAGAUUUAUGUGAAAAAAGGUCAGCCCUACUAAAAGAUAUCUCAACACUCCACUAGGGGGCAGCACAUUCGUUUGCAGUUCUGCUUCACAGCAAGAAGGUUUAAACCUGAAGGUGGGUGGAGCCUUUCUGUUCAAGGUUUGUAAACUCUUCCUUGUUUUUUUCUCCUGCUUGUUUCUUUCAAACUCUACAAGUUUUGUGUUAUGUAUUUGCUUUGUUUGUCUUAAUCUUAAUCAGGUACAGUUUUUAUAUCAUUUUAUGUUCUCUAUAAUGCAGCUUAGAAAUGCUGAAACAUUAUGAAACAUUCUGCCUUGGUAAAUAUAUGUAACCUUGUCCAGCAUACUCCUAAUUUCCUGCAGCAAGUCCCCAAGCUUACAUCUGUAAGGUGUUACAUUACGCACAUAAGAUCCUGACAUUCAUUGCCCUGAUUGGAUGGAUUCUGUUAAGUUGCCUCUGACAGAAUUAGGUCCCCAUCGGAAAUUGACUGGGGUAAGACCGGUUCAGAUAGAGGUAAAGCAAGAACUGUGGCAUUAAUUCCUUUAGCUGUGCUGAUGCAAGCUCCUACUGGAUCCUGGACUGUGUAAAUCCAGCAGCCUCUGUUCUUAUUUGAACACUUUCAUUUAUCCACUUUUAAACACGUAGUCACAGUGUGGAUAAUAAACAGAUAUUCUGAGGAAGGUUAUCAUUACUGUUUUUCAUAAGUCAAAGUAUCUGAAGUACUAAUCUAAUAAAUGCAGUAGGAAAUUAUAUUUUUUUGUGUGUUUUGGCAACAUGAGCCACCACAGUAAGAUCUUUUGUGUUACAUAGGUUCCUUCAGUCCAGAAAAGCAGAUGAUGAUAACCAUGAAUCUUUGAACUCGGAUAAAACAGCAAGAACAAUUUUUGAAAUAAUAUUCAAAGGGAAAACUCCAGAACAGGGAUUGCUGGUCUCUUCCAGCACCUCACUCCCUCUCAAAAAAUCAAAUCCACAACUGUGACAUUCCAUUCAUACGUUUCACUGAUGUUGUGGGUAUUACCUGCUUUAGCUAUGUGUAGCACCACAUAUCAUGCUUCAUUUGCCUUGUCAUUUGCAGUACUAACACUACUGUCUGCUGUGACCUCAGUUAAUUUAGCCCUUUGUUUACAAAGAAAAAACCUCUUGGAGUUUUGCAAACCCUGUGGAAGUGGAGUAUCUUCAGAACCAACCCAAGAAAAUGCCAACUUUAAAUAAUUAUGGUCAUACUUGCUCCAAAUUUUUAGUUACUUUGCUUGGCCCGGUCUCCUUACUCACUGUAACUUUAGUUACUAAGAACCAAUCAAUUUGGAAAGUUUGAUAAAUUAUCAAAAUUACAUUUUCUGGUUUAUCUUUUUCAUUAUGUUGUGCACCCCAUGAAGCUCUCUGGUGACCCCCAGAGGGGGGCACGCCCCACACUUUGUAAAGCCCUGCUCUACAAUUUAUGAUUCUGCCCAAUUAAUUUUUUCCCUCAAAUACUCCUGUUGUGGCAGACCUAUAAUUUUCACUCUAUAAAGUUGUAAAAUAUUUUCUCUUGUGACUGUGGUGAAACCUAACCAUGGUGCUGUAUGGAGUACCUGCUGUUGAAGGAAAUAUCCAAUUAGCUACCAGCUGCUGAACUAAGUUGGCUGCUGGAAGUUUAGUGGAACAUAGAACUGAAAGGGAAAGCAUUUCUCAGGUGAGCUCACUUCAUUUCAGUACUAAUAUUUUGUCCUUGUUAAUUUGUGUGAUUAAUUAUAUGAAGUUAUAGAUUAAAGAUGAUGUCUUCUGCAAUGCAUGCGCUUAUUUCUCUGGCUGAACUUGCCACAAAAUUAGUAGGAAAAAGACUUAUCAUGUAUCAAUUAAUAAUUUCAUAAAUUAUUUUAACCAAACAUGGUUUCACAUGCACUGAAAGGCAUAUCAUGAACACUUUAUAAUGGUACUUUUCUAUAAUGGUUCCAGUACCUUCAAGAUAAGAUGAGGUGUAUUAUUGAGGCCCUCUGCUGAAAAAACAAACAAAAAAACAAAGCAUUGCUGUUUGAUAUAGCAAAAUAACAGUUAACAAGCUUUCUUUAGCAUUUAGUAAAUGCGUCCGCAGUACAGCUAGCUGAUAGAGGAAGUUAGAAAGCUAUAAGUGCCCAUGAGUCAAAUGAAGACUCAGAGAAUAACACUCAGAAUCAUUUAUUUAUCUCAGUAUGAGAUAAUAGGGCAGAUCAUUUUUGAAGUGUGCCUAUUUACUUUUUAACAUUAGUAUCUUGCUUUGAUUAAGCUGUUCACUACUAGUUUGAAAACUUUUCUAGGAUGAUGCAAUGGGUCAAAUGUUACCAAUGAAGUGCGAGGGACUGGCGGGGGUCAGGAGGGUGUUAUUAUACAAUGAUAUUUAUUUCUAAAUUAAGGUGUAAUAUCGAUAUAAUCAAGUCAAAAGUGCAAAGCAGUUUGGUUAUCGCAAAGACCCAAAGUUUAGCUGUAGCAGCGGAAAGGAAUUUUCUGCAAUAAAUAAAAAAAUUUUUAAUGUGUUGUUGAGUCAUUAGUACCCAACAUACACAUUGAAUGUUGUUGAGUACUAACAACACAUUGUUGUGUUGUUUAGGUAACACUAAAUUUAGUGGGUAAAUUUAGUGUUACCCACUAAAUUUGGACUUUUUUCCAACAUGUUAUGCUUGAAUCUUUUACUCUGGCAGAUCAAUUCUUGAUCAGAACUAUGUCUUGUGAGGCUUGUCAGUAUCCACGAGUAUUCUGAGGCAUUUUGCUGCCCUCAAGUGGCCGUAAAACUGUUAAUUUUAGAUUACAUUAUGAAAUGCAUAUGGUUUUAUCAACCUUGUUUAAGCAACAAACUGUGCAAAUAUUUGAAGAAAUGUUAGAAGUAUUUCAAUUACCAGGCAUUGACUGCUUCAGUUGUUGUUCCAGUGUGUUGUAAUCAAAUAAUGCUAUGGCAUGUCUUCCUUACAUACAAUUCUUAACUAACAUCAAUAUGUGUGUGUCUAUUGCAGUUUUACAAGUGUGUGCCAUCUAUAACAUCUAUUUUAUGAUAUUAUUUAGCUAGGCACAGCAGAGGUACAACUGUUCUCCUUUCUACAACUCAUCUGAAAGUGACCAAUUAUAAAGUGGUUCAGCACUGAGGUCCUACGCUGGCAACGGGACAUAACCUCAGAAACGAACAUUAAAUAUGUAAUACUUCAUUGGGUUCCAUCUGCUACAAAUUUCUAUACCCUCGACAUGUUGGCAUAUCUGGUGCUCCAACAAGUUUGCAUUUCAAUGAAAGAGGCUGAUUGCUGAUACAGCAAGGUAUGUAGUUUCCACUAAAGAGUUUAUUUGAGUUGCUGUGUCCCAAAAGUAACUUUCAGUCGAUGGUUUCUGAAUGUUCAUAAAACUACAGUCUCAACUCCCAUUGCUUGUCAAACAAAAUGCUAAGCACAAUCAAUGUGUGGACACUGUUUUUGCCCUGCUCUAUACUCAAGUAUGCUUUUUGCUAAGUACAUGGUGGUACCCAUGAACCUACAAUCUACCACGGUUCGAGAAAGGCAUGCAAAAGUGUAUUCUAUAUGCUGAAGAUGUAAGUAUGUUACUUCUUUUUCAUAGUUCUCUUAAUUUGGUUUCAAACAAAUUCAUAUGGUGUUUUUGUGUGACAGAUGAUCCCAAGAAACAACCAAUCAUAUGAGAAUGUUUCUUUAAAGUACGUAGACUUCUUCAACCUCAGAAUUAUGAGAUCACAUAACUGCCCCUUUCUACUUUUGGCACAGAUUUGUAUCUAGAUUGCAGGCAUUUAAAAGUUCAUAAAAAUUUUAUGAGGCAGUUAAAUGUAAAUGUUUUGAUAUGUUUCAACCUGUGAUUCAGGUGCAGAUUCUGACUUGCCCCCAGUCUUAGAAAAGGUUCUUUGUGUUUUGUGUUUCAAGAUAUUCAACGUAGGUUGGAGAAUACUGUUGUUAGUGAAAACUCUAAAAAUGAGUAUUCAAGGUCUAUGCUUAGUCUUUGUAAGUUACAAAAAGGGUAACAGGAUACCGGUAUCUUCGCCAAACAGCUCUAAAAGUUCCAUCAGUUCAAUACUUGAGGGAUAUCUUUUAGAUUUCAAUCAUAUAUGAAGGAUCUUUUUAAUUUAGUCUUUUAUUUUACAAGUUUUAACUUCUUCUAUUGACCCUUUCUGUUUUAGCAGCUAAUCUAUUUCAACCACAAAAUGGUUGAAUAGACCGCUUAUCUUACCAAUAACUUAAUCUAAGUGCUCUGCCGCUAAAGGAAAUCAUCUUAAAAUGAGAAUUUAUUUUAUCUAUACCAACAAUGCAUAAAAAAACACUUGGGGCACAGGUAUCUAAGAAGAUAUUUUGCGCAGUCUUUUGGAUGAAUUCCCAGGGAUGCUAUAAUGUUAGUACCUGAAGAUGUUGCGUAUCUGCUGUUGCUCUGAUUAGUGUGGGUAAUGGUCACUAGAUCCUUUGAGUCUUUCCACAGCCUAUUAGUCAUACACCGUUUGUGCUAAAGUGCUAGUUAUCAUUAGCAUCUCCACGGCUAUCAACUUUCACUCAUUCAUCCUUAGAAAAAACCAGUCUAGUGCCCUCUACUGUCCAAACAAUGAACAACUAUAAGAAAAAAAAUGCACCAUAAGGUGUAUCUUCAAGUGUAAUGGAACACCAUAAAAGAAAAAAGAAUGCAUGGAUUAAGCAUGCACAAUACAUCAGGCUAUAUUAGUUCCUGCUAUGAUGGAUUCAGUUCUCUGGAUACGCCUCUUAUUUCAACUCAGAUUUUGUAUAGAAAUUAUAUGUCUAUUUAUGGAAUAUGAUUAUAAAUAUCAGCAAAAUCUAGACCUCUUAGAUCCUCUGAUACUAGGUGUUAUUUUGACAAUCUGACAACAUUUUUGAGUUAAAAUAUUAGGAUAACAAUGACAGAGUAAAGUAAGCGUUAGUUUAAUUGGAUUAUUCUCAAUAGUAAAUCUUAGAGUGACUGUCAGUCUUCUUACUUUAGAAACGCCACCAUGUGGUAAAAAUGGAUCUUGUAGUUCAUUUCAUAAUUAAUAUUUGUUUAUCAUUUUAGUAAUCCCUAUAUUGGUACGGUACAGCCAUAUGCAAUUGUUAGCAAAUAAAAAAAUAGCAAUAAUUUUGUAUUUCACAGUAAUUUACAAACUUAUCUUGAAUCAUUUGUAUAAAACACAUAAUAAACAUUUUAGGUAACUUAUUAAAACCAAAUAAAAAAUACAUAUUAAAAAUUGAUGUAUCUGAAGUGAAUUUAAUACUUAAAAUUUUAAAAUGAUGCAAUUUAUCACAAGUUUAUUAAGUCUUGAUUUGCUAUCAUAAUCUAAUGUUGCAAUAUAAGUAUUUUUUUAUUAUUACUGGUACAUUACUGUGCUAGCUUUGUUCCUCGUCCCUAUUUUUUAUUUGAACAAACACACUCAAAAUAAUUGUUGGACUCAGAUGAAAACUUUUAGGUUUGAAAAUAAGUUAAGGGAUAAAGCUUUGCCUAGGUUCCCGUUGCAGGAUAUUGUUCUGGAACAAGGUACUCCUGACGUAACUCAGAGAGAUAAAGCAAGUAACUGGGACUGUCGUAAUGGGAUCAUCCUGUGGAUUUAAGAGUUAUUUGAAGGGCUGUGUAUGUUAAAACUAGAACACAGUAAACCGCGCAGUUCCAGAUUCUUCAAAAUGACAUUGAAAGUGUCUCUUGAAGGUCUACUGCAUUCCCCUAGUUUACCUUUCAGAGCUGAUGAAAUGCAACCAUGCACAGUAGAAGAUAAUCUAUGACUUUUCUAUUGUAUUCUGGGACCUCUGUGAUCACUGGUAGAGUUAAAGAAACUUACAGAACUUCUCUUUACUUAUCAUGAAAAUUGGCAUCUAUACAGGAAAUAUUUCAAAUUAAGUAUGGAAUAUUAUUAAAAUGUAAUUCUCUUGAUAACCCAAGUGGCUUUAUGCAGUGAAAAAAUACAUUUUCUAUCAAGUGUUUAAUUUAACAAGACUUAACAUAAAAUCUAAUUGUUAAUCCCAGUGAAAGUCACUUUCUAACUAUUUGUAUGAAUUGCUGUUAUUUAAUUGGAUCUUAGAAUGUGUAUCAUACAUUUAGUAACUUCAUGACUUGUUACAUGGAAGGAUUAUGUAGCUGUUGUUGUACGCAGUAAUCUUCUCACUAAGCCUUGCAUCGUUAUUUACUGUUUACCUGAGGAAUCAGUGGAGAGAGUGGGAACAGUUUGGUUUCACGUCUCGUCCUGCCAUGACACCUUGAGCAGCGACUCUGGCUGACACCUUUGACCUUCGGUAAAGGAUUUAUGGGAUUGUGAGUGGAGUGAAGGAUUUAGUGGCACAUGGCAAAACAGUGGGUCUGUGGGUCAGUGUGUCAGUAUAUCAGUGAGUCAGUAGGCUUUUCAUUUUCCCAAACUAGGUCAGCUAUUUACUUUCAUUAAAUGAGGCUAAUGCUGGAACUUCCUGGUGUCACACUGCUCACCUAUUCACAUGUCAACAUCUAACUCUUCUCAUGCUCAUGUUCUAACACCAUCACACGUGCACUCACACCUUCAGCCUUCACCCAUAGUCCUCACCAAAGAAAAACAAAGAGCAUUUAUUCUCUGAGUUGUUAGAUAGAAAGGCAAAGUGUGUUUUUGUAUGUUGCCAGUCACAUUUGAAACAGAUGCAAAAUCAUGCUUCAACAUCUGUUUCAACAAAUCCAGCCAUGCUGAGCCGCAGAAGAAACAUGAUGUGACAGAUUACGUUCAGGAAUCAAAUUACAAAAAGUGUACCACUAAGCUGUAACUGAGGAGACAAAACUUAAUUGAACCAUUUUUAAAUUUUCCACAUUUUUCUCACAAUUUCUGUUUGUAUUUAAGUCAGUGUGAACCUAUCCAGUUAAGAUUACCAAAGUUACAUAUAUUUACAUAUUUUGCAUAAAUUUUCUUAAUAUGUUUCAGAAUGAUAUGUUAAGCUUUAUGACAUCGGUAACUUUACACAAUGUUCUCCCCAUUAGUUGGCCUGUAGUGUAACUGACUCAGGUUUGUUGGCCACCCUGCUUGCACACACCUUUUCAGCUAUGCUCAUUCCUGCUUUGAACCAUUGCAUUACCAAUUUUGUUGUCAUUAAGCCAAAUUGCAACCAACGUGCUUUGGAUCUUUGCAUGCAAGCUUUUACUUUCUGGUAAAUGUUCCUAAAUGGUCUUUCAAUAAUGCUGCUUCCUCAUGAUGCCUGCAACUUUGUGAAUUGCACCAGUCCUUCCUGUAGCGUAACACCCCCACAACAUGAUGCUGCAUGCCAUCAUUCUACUUCAUGGUUGAGAUGAUGUUCUUAGGCUUUGAAGCUUCCUUCUGUUUUUUUCAAAAUGCUGCUAAACAUAGUGUUUAUGUCCCUCUGUGAAGUUUAAUUUCAUGUCACUUUUGGAAUAAUGACUUCUUCCUCUGUGUGGGAUUUCAGCUUUAUCAAAUAACCUUUGACAAUUUUGGCCCCACCAGCCAUUAGCAAACACCUGUUGGAACUUUGCAUCGGCUGAGCUUAUACCAUGAAAUAUUUUGCAGUCCAGUGCACUGACAGACGUUUGUAAAUGCUUACUAGAGGAAUGUUGAUGUGAUGACAUGCUGAAGGUGGUAUGUAAUUGAAAAGGAACUUCUAAAAAGUCAGUCUCAAUUUCAAGGUGUUAAAUUGUGAAGUCAAAUUUCUUUUAAGUCAUGUUUGAUAUAUAUACAGCAUUUUUCUAACAACUGAAAGUGACAGUUACUUGAUUGUGCUAUAAAAUGACACUAUGUGGCUGGAAAACACAUAACACUGCUCCUUUAAAUAUUUUUGUUCACUUGUUCUUAUUGUUGUUUAUCUUUUUCACUUCAUUGAAUUGUACAGCACUUUCGUCAAUUUCAGAAUUUUAUGUGCUUUAUAAACAAAUUAACAUUUACAUUUCAGCCGCUGUUAAUAGAGGAUUUCCUUCACUGUGGAUGAUUUAUUUGGCAUCUCCUCAAUAUCUUUUUACUUUUUGUUCUGGGUUUAUACACAUACAGGCAAAACAGGUUUCUAAAAUCAUUUCCACAAAACCCAGAAGUUACUUUCUGUCUGGAAAUGACACAAGUAUCACCCAAAAGGCCAUAAGACAAGGCACAAUGGCUUUUUAAAAAACAAAACAAUGUGAAAUGGUUUGUAUGUGUUAACAAGUAGUGUCAUAUUAAAGAUAGUUCAGGCCCUUCUCUUUAAUCGUUGGAGACAUCUUUUUUCUUCACUAGUUCACUUUUUCUUCUCACAACUAUUGACAAGCUUGUUGCAUGUCUGCACAGGUAUUUCCAUAUUUCUUUUUAAAUAUCAUCGCUGUCUUUUAGAAACCAUGUGCUCAUGGAAAUUACAUUAAAGUUAUAAGAAACAUAAACCAGAGAACCUGCAAUGUAACUGACAAAAGGUUGUUCACUCAAGAAGCUGAAGAAAGACUGUGCCACACUGCAGAUUUUUAGUUGUAAAACAUAUGAACCUUAAUUAAAAUAAACGUACAUGGUUAGUUGUUAUAUGGCAAAAAAUAUUUUAAAAAUUCCCUUCGGGGCACUGAAUGUGGGGCAGUGUUACUGAACUUUUGUUCCUCAGACAGCAGAAUUGGUUGCCCAAUAAUUAGAAGGUCAGUAGUUUGAUCAAUUGCUCAAUCUGUCCACAUGUUCAAGUAUUCUUGUUUAAGAUAUUGAAACUGGAAAAUUACUUUGUUUUAAUGUGAUUGUUAUCCCUGUAACAAUAGAAAAAAUAUCCUUCAUUUCAAAAUGUUAUGUCUUGGUUAUUUCUUAUGGCACUUCAAACCAAACUGUACAAAGCAGUAGGUUGGGCUACUCCAAACUAUUUUCUGAAGGAAGAGGUGUGGUUGUUUGCCAUUCUUAGAAAAUCACCUGUAAUGAUUCAUAAUUUGCUAUUGGCAGCAAAACAAAAUUCUCCGAUAUAUCUCACUCUAAAGGUUUUUCCUACGACUGCUCAAACAAGUAAACAAGCAAUGUGCAGAGUGAUUUUAAAGCGAAAGUUCAGUUUUCUGGCUCUUCUAGGGUCAUUUCGGAAUUAUUCUUUAACUAAUAGCUUAUUGAAAUUUGAUUUUGCACCUGAUUGAUAAAUACUGAGAUUGUCAUGUUCAAAACCUUCAUGAAAGGACACAUUUUUGAGAAUACAUCUCAUUAACUAUUCUUUUCUAUGUUUCUUGGUAAUUUACAGGUUCCCUGUGAAGUGACUCCCUUUGGUUCAACCACAAGGUGCUGUCACAUCAGACGUGAUCAGGAGUUAUUCAUCAAUCACAUCUAGCAGGACUCAACUAUCAUGUCAGGGACGUCUGUUUUGACGAUGCUGUGCUGAGAGUUGAAGUAGACCAUGGACAGAGGCCGGCGCUCAGUGGGGAUGCAGCAUGAAGCUGU